GGGAGCGCAUGCACACCUGGUGGUGGCCGCGGUCUUCAAAACCGUUGUGUCCUGGUUCUGCCCGGGCAGGUGGGUUCGAUUCCCACACGUUCCCG
Molecule: transfer RNA, 95 nt
Filed under: Candidatus Zhuqueibacterota bacterium
Lineage: Bacteria; Pseudomonadati
Also listed under: 1 other name
Description: candidate division KSB1 bacterium (activated sludge metagenome) tRNA-Sec
Rfam family: Selenocysteine transfer RNA
Source: RNAcentral